Cervus elaphus (red deer) is the source of this 153-nucleotide long non-coding RNA. RefSeq lists it as uncharacterized. The record is from RefSeq and is a predicted model, not a curated record. The transcript has 4 exons. Lineage: Eukaryota; Metazoa; Chordata; Mammalia; Artiodactyla; Cervidae.
AUUUAAGGAAUAUAUCAGAGAAGACAAUGACACCCCACUCCAGUACUCUUGCCUGGAAAAUCCCAUGGAUGGAGGAGCCUGGUAGGCUGCAGUCCAUGGGGUCGCGAAGAAGUCGGACAUGACUGAAGUGACUUAGCAUGCAUGCAUAGACAU